RNAcentral lists this ribosomal RNA (749 nucleotides) under Cryocola sp. Its description in RNAcentral is "bacterial SSU rRNA". It matches the Rfam family "Bacterial small subunit ribosomal RNA", at positions 74 to 836 of the family's 1533-position model. The record is from RNAcentral. Lineage: Bacteria; Bacillati; Actinomycetota; Actinomycetes; Micrococcales; Microbacteriaceae.
AGGAGCUUGCUCUUGGGGAUUAGUGGCGAACGGGUGAGUAACACGUGAGUAACCUGCCCUUGACUCUGGGAUAACCUCCGGAAACGGAAGCUAAUACCGGAUACGAACUGCGAAGGCAUCUUCAGCAGUUGGAAAGAACUUCGGUCAAGGAUGGACUCGCGGCCUAUCAGGUAGUUGGUGAGGUAAAGGCUCACCAAGCCUACGACGGGUAGCCGGCCUGAGAGGGUGACCGGCCACACUGGGACUGAGACACGGCCCAGACUCCUACGGGAGGCAGCAGUGGGGAAUAUUGCACAAUGGGCGCAAGCCUGAUGCAGCAACGCCGCGUGAGGGAUGACGGCCUUCGGGUUGUAAACCUCUUUUAGUAGGGAAGAAGCGAAAGUGACGGUACCUGCAGAAAAAGCACCGGCUAACUACGUGCCAGCAGCCGCGGUAAUACGUAGGGUGCGAGCGUUGUCCGGAAUUAUUGGGCGUAAAGAGCUCGUAGGCGGUCUGUCGCGUCUGCUGUGAAAACCCGAGGCUCAACCUCGGGCCUGCAGUGGGUACGGGCAGACUAGAGUGCGGUAGGGGAGAAUGGAAUUCCUGGUGUAGCGGUGGAAUGCGCAGAUAUCAGGAGGAACACCGAUGGCGAAGGCAGUUCUCUGGGCCGUAACUGACGCUGAGGAGCGAAAGCGUGGGGAGCGAACAGGAUUAGAUACCCUGGUAGUCCACGCCGUAAACGUUGGGCGCUAGAUGUGGGGACCAUUCCA